AGAACUUUAAGUUAAAUAAACUAUAAGCCUUCAAAGCUUGAAAUAAGGUUACUUAAGUUCUA
RNAcentral lists this transfer RNA (62 nucleotides) under Phoronopsis harmeri. RNAcentral's name for it is "tRNA-Trp". The record is from RNAcentral. Lineage: Eukaryota; Metazoa; Phoronida; Phoronidae.